ACCUGACUGGCUCAAUCAGUAGAGCAUGUGACCCUUAAUCUUAGGAUCCUGAGUUCAAGUCCUAAGUUGGGUG
RNAcentral lists this transfer RNA (73 nucleotides) under Ailuropoda melanoleuca (giant panda). It matches the Rfam family "tRNA". From Rfam's summary of the family: Transfer RNA (tRNA) molecules are approximately 80 nucleotides in length. Their secondary structure includes four short double-helical elements and three loops (D, anti-codon, and T loops). Further hydrogen bonds mediate the characteristic L-shaped molecular structure. tRNAs have two regions of fundamental functional importance: the anti-codon, which is responsible for specific mRNA codon recognition, and the 3' end, to which the tRNAs corresponding amino acid is attached (by aminoacyl-tRNA synthetases). tRNAs cope with the degeneracy of the genetic code in two manners: having more than one tRNA (with a specific anti-codon) for a particular amino acid; and 'wobble' base-pairing, i.e. permitting non-standard base-pairing at the 3rd anti-codon position. The record is from Rfam by way of RNAcentral. Lineage: Eukaryota; Metazoa; Chordata; Mammalia; Carnivora; Ursidae.